This 471-nucleotide long non-coding RNA is filed under the name Lactuca sativa (garden lettuce). Its description in RNAcentral is "long non-coding RNA (LSAT_LNC000202)". Lineage: Eukaryota; Viridiplantae; Streptophyta; Magnoliopsida; Asterales; Asteraceae. The record is from RNAcentral.
AUAUUAAAUGGUUAUGAAUGCUCAGUAAAAUAAUAAAAAAACUAUCACAUAAGUGGUAAUUCGAGAUUCUCUUAUAAGCAUUAAAUGUCUGUUUACAUACUCAUGUACACAUAUUAUGUCUAACCUACGAUGUAUCAUGUAUAUAUGUAUGUAUGUAUUUAUGGAGGUGUAUACCUUCUAGCUUUGUACACAUACAUACAAGAUCAUUGUCUUUGGAAUGCUCAGUAAAAUAAUAAAAAAACUAUCACAUAAGUGGUAAUUCGAGAUUCUCUUAUAAGCAUUAAAUGUCUGUUUACAUACUCAUGUACACAUAUUAUGUCUAACCUACGAUGUAUCAUGUAUAUAUGUAUGUAUGUAUUUAUGGAGGUGUAUACCUUCUAGCUUUGUACACAUACAUACAAGAUCAUUGUCUUUGGAAUUCGUUUUUUUCAGUUUUGUGGUUCUGAAAAAGCUAUAAGGCAGAUAUAUAGC